CAUGGUGAAAUGUGCUUUUAGAAGCUGUGAAAACAUACAGAAGAAAUGGACAAAGGAAAGUUUCUACCGCUUGCCUGUGAUGAACGAGGAACUAUAUAAAAAGGGGUUACUCUGCUGGAUAUGACAUAUACACACCGGUGGAAAUAGUACUGCUUUGGAGUAUUUGCAGCGCGCAUUUUCAUCGGUAUCAUCUCCUGAAACCAAACGCUGUGCCUUCGACUGUCCAAACGUCUUCAAGAGCUUCUGAUAAACAGGCGACCUGGAGAUGCUGAAGGUACACCCAGAAGAGGCUCCACUUUGUUUUCAACUCCAUGAAGGCAAGGGCACCAGCAAGCGAGGAAUGCUGAUGGGACUUUGAGAUACAGCUUGGAGUUUUCUAAAGCAAAUGAAAAGAUGGGUUGCCCGGAGGAGUUACGAGCCAACAACGCAGAUAUUCUGACAGAAUUUGGUGGCGCAUGUCCUGGAAAGACUGCAGGAUUCAUUAGUGAAGUUUGCUGAUCCAGACUUUUAUUUCAAGCCUCCAACUACAAUUCCCCAAACCGUUGCAGGCAACAAAAGGCCUGAUAAAGAAAAAAUCAUUUUACAUGUCAGUAGAUUUAAAGAAUAAGUAGGCUGACAUUUUCCUUUUUUUUUUUUUUUUUAAAGAUAUUUUUGAAUGUACUAUAAAAAUAAAAAUAAAACAAACACAUAUUGUCUUAUUUGUGAAAUGUGAAGGUUUAAAAGAUCAAAAGUUUCUGGGUAUGUAGGAGUUGUAUUGACAAGGAUGCGCUAAAGGACCCAAAUGCUCGAUAGGUCAAUCCAAACAAAGAUUUAUUUUCCAGUUCAUAAAG
Long non-coding RNA from Corythoichthys intestinalis (scribbled pipefish), 830 nucleotides. RefSeq lists it as uncharacterized. The record is from RefSeq and is a predicted model, not a curated record. The transcript is spliced from 3 exons. Lineage: Eukaryota; Metazoa; Chordata; Actinopteri; Syngnathiformes; Syngnathidae.